UAGCCAUGCAUGUGAUCAGUGCAGUCCUUGUACGACGAAACUGCGAAUGGCUCAUUAAAACAGUUAUCGUUCAUUUGGUAAUCAUCUACUACAAGGAUAACUGUAGUAAUUCUAGAGCUAAUACUUGCGUUUUCCCGACUUCUCGGAAGGGAUUGCAUUUAUUAGAUACAAACCAAUCGGUGGUUUACCACUGCUAUAUGGUGAUUCAUAAUAACUAAGCGAAUCGCAUGGGCUCGCCCGGCGAUAGACCUUUCAAGUUUCUGAUCUAUCAGCUAUUGACGGUAGGGUAUUGGCCUACCGUGGCGAUGACGGAUAAAGGGGGAUUAGGGUUCGACUCCUGAGAGGGAGCCUGAGAAACGGCUACCACAUCUAAGGAUGGCAGCAGGCGCGCAAAUUACCCAAUCCUGACACAGGGAGGUAGUGACAAGAAAUAACAAUACAGGGCUUCACAGUCUUGUAAUUGGAAUGAGUAGAUUCUAAAUCUCUCUACGAGUAACAAUUGGAGGGCAAGUCUGGUGCCAGCAGCCGCGGUAAUUCCAGCUCCAAUAGCGUAUAUUAAUGUUGUUGCGGUUAAAAAGCUCGUAGUUGAAUCUCUGAUCGGGAUGACCUCCUCACCUUAGGGUGACGGUAGCUGUUGACCUGAUCAUCCUCCUAGAACACGAUGGAUCUUAACUGGUCCAUUCGUGCUAGGACUAUUACUUUGAGGAAAUUAGAGUGUUCCAAGCAGGCAUUUGCCCUGAAUACAUUAGCAUGGAAUAAUAAUAUAGGACUUCGGUUCUAUUUUAUUGGUUCUGGACCGAAGUAAUGAUUAAUAGGGACAGUCGGGGGCAUUCGUACUCAACAGUCAGAGGUGAAAUUCUUGGAUUUGUUGGAGACGAACUACUGCGAAAGCAUUUGCCAAGGAUGUUUUCAUUGAUCAAGAACGAAAGUUAGGGGAUCGAAGACG
RNAcentral lists this ribosomal RNA (946 nucleotides) under uncultured eukaryote. RNAcentral's name for it is "bacterial SSU rRNA". It matches the Rfam family "Eukaryotic small subunit ribosomal RNA", at positions 46 to 1006 of the family's 1831-position model. The record is from RNAcentral.